RNAcentral lists this ribosomal RNA (496 nucleotides) under uncultured bacterium. RNAcentral describes it as "partial 16S ribosomal RNA". It matches the Rfam family "Bacterial small subunit ribosomal RNA", at positions 28 to 523 of the family's 1533-position model. The record is from RNAcentral.
GAUGAACGCUAGCGGCAGGCUUAACACAUGCAAGUCGAGGGGUAUUAGGAGCUUGCUCCUAAGAGACCGGCGCACGGGUGCGUAACGCGUAUGCAACCUACCUUGAACAGGGGGAUAGCCCAGAGAAAUUUGGAUUAAUACCCCAUGGUAUAUUAGAAUGGCAUCAUUUUAUUAUUAAAGUCACAACGGUUCAAGAUGGGCAUGCGUACCAUUAGCCAGAUGGUAAGGUAACGGCUUACCAUGGCUACGAUGGGUAGGGGUCCUGAGAGGGAGAUCCGCCACGCGGGUGCUGAGACACGGACCAGACUCCUACGGGAGGCAGCAGUGAGGAAUCUUGGUCAAUGGGCGCAAGCCUGAACCAGCCAUGCCGCGUGCAGGAUGAAGCAUCUAUGGUGUGUAAACUGCUUUUAUACGGGAAGAAACCCUGCCACGUGUGGCAGAUUGACGGUACCGUAGGAAUAAGGAUCGGCUAACUCCGUGCCAGCCGCCGCGGUAA